AUUGAACGCUGGCGGCAGGCCUAACACAUGCAAGUCGAACGGAUCACUGGGCUUGCCUAGUGGUCAGUGGCGAACGGGUGAGUAACACGUGAGCAACCUGCCCCUGACUCUGGGAUAACUCCGGGAAACCGGGGCUAAUACCGGAUACGACAUCGCCUCGCAUGGGGUGGUGUGGAAAGGGUCUACUGGUUGGGGAUGGGCUCGCGGCCUAUCAGCUUGUUGGUGGGGUGAUGGCUCACCAAGGCGACGACGGGUAGCCGGCCUGAGAGGGUGACCGGCCACACUGGGACUGAGACACGGCCCAG
This 305-nucleotide ribosomal RNA is filed under the name uncultured bacterium. RNAcentral describes it as "bacterial SSU rRNA". It matches the Rfam family "Bacterial small subunit ribosomal RNA", at positions 30 to 334 of the family's 1533-position model. The record is from RNAcentral.